GAUUUGUCGGGUUCGCUGCACGUGCAUCUGGGCCAAGUCUAGGGUUAUGUCUCCCGGGAGCAGACUGUUCCCAAGACUCUGUUCCCUCAAUAACUGAGGUCUUUUGACUAUGAAUUUAUUUUCUCCGUUAUUGACGUGCGUGUGGUCUAAACAAAAGCCUCCGAAAUUCAGCAGCCCUCCACCUUUCCUGUUCCAUUUUCUUUUCCCAGGAACAAACAUUUCAGUUCUUUGAGCGGAUUCUUUGACAGGUACCCCCCAUUUCUCUAAAAAUCACACUUUUACAUUGCUUCUUGUCGAUAUUCAGGUGUGGGUGAGAGGAGUUAGCACCUCCAUCGGCACCUCCCAUCCCUCUGCUGUCCCACGCAUGUCAGUCAGUGUCAGCAUCGAUGCUCUUCUGACCACAUAAGUGCUGCUGGCAGCUGACCCACUGAGUGUACUCCAGGCGCCUUGCCUUUCCUGCCCCGGAGUUGAUGUUUGUCCAGAUUCCUGUUGGCUCAGCGUCUUGUGUACUAAUGGUAAUGGGGCUCCGGGCCCCCUCCAGCCGGGUGAGUCUCCUCCCAGGGCACUCACACCAGCCAGUCUGUAGCUCAUCUUCUUGAAAAGCUGUCUCUCCCUUCCCUCCCCCUGUGGGCUCCCUGUUUCCUGAUCCUGUGUCUUACUCUGCCUUUGUUUACUCUGCCUUGACAGAGCAGAUCCUCCAAUAGUUUUCUGAAAAAAUUAGCGCUAAAGAAAUAAUUUGGGAGGACUUGCAUGUCUCAAAGUACCUUUAUUUUGUCUACUAUAACUAGAAACUUAAGACCCUUAACUCUCAGGGCGCCUGGGUGGCUCAGUCAGUUAAGCGUCCAAUUUGGGCUCAGGGCAGACUCUCGUGGUUCAUUGGCUUGAGCCCCUCCUGGGCCUCACUGGGCUUGCCAUGCACUCUCGUGUGUGUGCUCGCACUCUCUCUCUCGCUCUCUCUCUCUCUCUCUCUCUCAAAAAUAAAAAAACUUAAAAAAAAAAAAAGAGGACCCUUAAUUCUCAGAAAUUCUAUUAUGUCUUUGAUUUCUUCUCUCCUGUUUUCUCUGUUCUCUGUGGGUCUUUUUUUCCCAGAAGCUGGCCCCCUCUGUUUUUGUUUUUGUUUUUAUUUUAUUUUUUAACUUCUCCUUUCCAUUGUGUUUUCUUGUUGCUCUUCUUUCAGAUAUAUUUCCUUAACUUCUUCUGUUUCCUUUUUUUUUUCCCUUUGAGUAGGCUCCACACCCAACGUGGGGUUUGAACUCAUAACCCUGAAAUCAAGAGUGUCAUGUUCCACCCACUGAGCCAGCCAGGCACUCCCUCCUCAACUCUUAAUCCUCCUAUCGUGUUUCGUUUAUCCUGUCAUUUUUAACUUCCAUGAGCUCAUUUGCUUUUCGAAUGUUCCUUUCCUUAUAGCAACCCGUUCUUGUUUCCUAGGUACAGUCUCUCUGCUGUUGCUGCGAGGUUUCAGGAGUGUAAUCCGUUCCGUCUGCGUCUCUAAUGCACGGAGGCACUGCCUUUCCUGCUGCGAUGCCUCCACUCUUAGGACCCUCAGCUGCUACCUCUCCGUGACUUCCUCGUCCGUCACUUCCAGCCCCGGUUGUCUUCUUCUCAGGACCGCUUCCUGGGUCCUCCACCGAUGGCAUCAACCAUCUCCCGCCCACCCUGGCAGUUUACUUCAACUCUUUGGACCCCGAGUAAACCAUCGUAUCUUAAAAGAAAUAAGUGGUACUGUGAGACAGUGAUGUCAAAACAAGGAGUUGGUUAUUCACAGACAGAGGUUUACACAUCAGGUGGGACUUGGUGGAUGAGGCGAAGAAGUUGUUUUUAAAAACCUUGAAAUAGAUAAAGGGCCCAAAUGUUGUUCAUUUACUCUUUAAACCCAUUCUUGGAAACUUGGCAGUGGUAUUUUUACCUAUUUAAUACUAAAUAUGAAUGCCAUUUCAGAAGUGUUUUUAGUUAGUAAUUCUUAGUGACCCCGGUUGUGUUCAUUAUUAAACACACGAUACUUACCACC
Neofelis nebulosa (Clouded leopard) is the source of this 2008-nucleotide long non-coding RNA. RefSeq lists it as uncharacterized. Lineage: Eukaryota; Metazoa; Chordata; Mammalia; Carnivora; Felidae. The record is from RefSeq and is a predicted model, not a curated record. The transcript has 2 exons.